Molecule: RNA transcript, 820 nt
Organism: Dreissena polymorpha
Lineage: Eukaryota; Metazoa; Mollusca; Bivalvia; Myida; Dreissenidae
Exons: 4
Source: RefSeq, a predicted model, not a curated record
GGUCAUGUAAAAUGUGCUCAAUACUUGUCAAUUCAAAUCAUGGUUGAUUUAAAUGUGAUUGUCUGCACUUAAACAACGAUUGAAUGGACCCCGUUCAGUAAAUAGAACUUAACUGCUGAAUACUCAAGGUUUUAUUAAAAUGUAUUGCACAGGUGAGCGAACGAAGACUUUGCUGUAUCUCUUGUGAAAUCAUAACGCCAGGGUGUAUAAACCUGUAUCUAACCAAAGCGUGUUAGGGAUCGUUUGACAAUGAAACGGUUUGGACUUGCAUUCUUUGUCACGGCGCUGCUUUUGAGCGCGAAUGGUGGGGCAGCGUCUGUCAUCUGCUACGUGUGUUCUGGAAGUUCGGCGUGUAAUCUGAACCUCUCUCUCAAUACAGAGUCUGGAUGCACGGUCUGUAAAAAGACGGAAAUAAAUGGCGCCGUUACCCGAUCUUGCGAUAGAUCCUUCCUCAUCUUCUACAGCAGGUCUUGUACCACUUCCGGUGGAAGUACGGAGUGCUACUGUAACACCGACUAUUGCAACAGUGGCAGGCGUAUCACAUUUUCUGUGUCGACACUCGUACUUGCGUUUGUCGCCGCUUACUUUGGUCUCGAUCGGAAGUAACAGCGAUAUGUCGAACCGUGUGAAAGAAGAGCUUUAUUAAUAAAUAUAUAUUUGGUUUUGAAUGACAUUUAUUUCAAAUGAUUGAUUUUUUUUUCACAUUUUAAAUAGACACUGUGUGUUAUUGCUCGUCAUUAUAAAGUCUUAUAUAAUAUGGAUGAUUUAAUGCUGAGUUUAUACGAAGCGUCAGGUUAAUAAAUAAAGUUCAUUUCAGUUA